RNAcentral lists this ribosomal RNA (253 nucleotides) under uncultured bacterium. Its description in RNAcentral is "partial 16S ribosomal RNA". It matches the Rfam family "Bacterial small subunit ribosomal RNA", at positions 524 to 776 of the family's 1533-position model. The record is from RNAcentral.
UACGGAGGGGGCUAGCGUUAUUCGGAAUUACUGGGCGUAAAGCGCACGUAGGCGGCUUUGUAAGUAAGAGGUGAAAGCCCGGAGCUCAACUCCGGAACUGCCUUUUAGACUGCAUCGCUUGAAUCCAGGAGAGGUGAGUGGAAUUCCGAGUGUAGAGGUGAAAUUCGUAGAUAUUCGGAAGAACACCAGUGGCGAAGGCGGCUCACUGGACUGGUAUUGACGCUGAGACGCGAAAGCGUGGGGAGCGAACAGG